CAGGCGUGGUGGUAGGCACCUGGAAUCCUAGCUACUCGGGAGGCUGAGGCAGGAGAAUCGCUUGAACCCGGGAGGCGGAGGCUGCAGUGAGCCGAGGUCAUGCCAUUGCACUCCAGCCUGGGCGACGGAGCAAGACUCUCUUAAAAAAAAAAUAAAAGGAGCACCCAUGGAUGAAAGCAGCAGCUAACAGCUCUGUGAUUCAGCCAAACCUAGAUAUCGUGCCCAUUCCUUCCCCUCGGUCCAUUUUCUCUAGCCCCUUUAAAAACCAAAAAACAAGCAACUUUGAAGUCACGUUGGGUUUAAAAUAAAUAGUGAUAAUUUAUAUAAUCAAUAAAGGGUUCAAUCUGCUCUUACUUAUGGGGACUUCUCUGAAAGCUGGCUUAGCGGUGCCUCGGCCAGAGAACAUUCUGUGUGGACUCUGACAGUGAAACAGGAGGCGUAGUGGACAAGGGUUCUCAUCUCCAAACCCAGCUCAGGGAUUGAAGCUAACUACCGCCACUCCUUCCUCUCUGGAAGAACAAAGAGCCAGUACCCAGGACUCUGCCCAUCCCCGAGAAGGGGUGCCUGAUUUCUUACGUCUAGGGUGGCUCCUCCAUGCAGAUCAGACAGGACUGAGAGCAGACCAGCCGAGACCAGCAUGACCAACACAGGGCAGGUCUGAGGCUGCUGCCUGAUGCAGGGUAUGGCACAAACCCUUCCUGAAUUGCCUCGGAUAAGGAGACCUGGUUCCCUGUUGACAGAAUGCCAGGGGAAAUGCCGCAAGUGCACAGCUGGAAAUGGGAUUCCUUCCCCAGGAAGAGCACUCGCAAUAACCUGCCGCAACCUGCCUGCUUGAGGGUGACAGCAAGUGUCACACACUUCUUGCCAACUCCAAGUCAGAUUCCUAAAAAUAAAAUAGAGCUGCACUGGGCCAUUUAAGCAAAAGCCUUAGAAACAUGGACACGUGGAAUGCUAGCCUACAUGACGGGUUCGAUUACAUUGUAUAUAUUAAAUAAAAAUUCCCAGUUUAAUAUUCAUCAGAAUAGCCUCUUGGACCCUCGAAGUUCCACACCUUUGGGAAAUACAAAUUUCCUUAAAGGGAUUUUUUUGUGUGUGUAAAUAGCUUUCAUUUUCUCCAUCUGGAAGUGAUUUCUCCCUGCAUGUCAGAGCACAAAAUACUGCCAUUAAUUAGAGCGUUACUGGAUGUCAUUUGCUAGAAUGUAUUUCCUUACUGCUGACAGAAAACAGAACAGACUCUAGGAAAGAAUUAGCAGGCCCGUGACCUUGGCCCCUCCCAGCGGCUGCCCUCCCUUCCCUGACAGUCUAAGGAAGCAACGUGUGGGAGCAGAAUGUGGCCGACCGAGCCCAGUCCUGGCCUGUCCGGUUGCAGUAGAGUCUCUGUAAUGUGUAAAGUGUUCCGCUUCUGACUUGGAACCCUUCUUGCUCUGUGAAUUUCUAUCCUGUGAACAUUCCCUUUUCUGUCCUUGCCGUUCCCCUCACAGCCUGCUCUUCCAGUGACCGCCAAGUGAUUUCUCUCCUGCACGCGUGCGUCCAUCCUGUUUCCUUAGUAGCUGGAUGGACAUUUUGCCAUGAAAACUUUGGGAAGUCCUGUGUCCUUUCAACAGUGGAAAGCUGGCUGCGGCCCUUCCAUGAGGCUCCAGGAUCAUUACCUCGUUUCCAUUCUUUCUUUUCAACAGCUCCCCAUUGUACUAGGGAAGCCAAGGGAUCACCCUAAUGAGAAAAGAACCUUCCCUGUAGCCCACCUGGAGGGGCAUUGCCUGCCAGUUCCUUCCUUCUCAGCUACGUGGACAGGAGGGAAGAGGAGGUGGCGAUCCGCGGGACAUGAAGGACGUUUCCACUUGAAGUGAAAGCAGCCUGGGAUUGGAAGCGUCCACAGAAGACCUGAUCUGCAAGGCUUUGAUGUGGACCUGGCUCUUUGACACUGGGCGAGUCACCGAUCCCCUGAGCAUCUGUUUUCAAUAUUGGGCCAAGAAAAGUAUUUGCAGAGUGGGCUGCAGCUUUCAGGGGUCUCAGGUGAAAUGGUGGCAAGAAACCCCAGCUCCCUUCACGUGUUUGCUCUGUGCUGAUGGAAAAGGAAGGCGUUUCUCUGCCGCCAAAAAGACCCCGUUCCACAGGGUUCUUCACAAAAUCAAGCACUGCGAUGGACCGACAGGAGCAGCCACUGGAGGGCUUUAGAAGACAAAUGGAAAACAUAUCAAAUGCUGUGUAAAGAAAACAUCCGUUUACACACAGCCCCCCACCGCCUCAUACCCACACCCGAUAUGAAAUGCUGUAUAAAGAAACAUCAGUUUACACACACACAGCCCCUCACAGCCUCGUACCCACACCCAAUAUCAAAUGCUGGCUGUAUAGACAUCAGUUUACACACAGAGAGUCCCACAGCCUCAUACUCAUGCCUCUUACAUGCUUGCACGGCCCUAAAGGAGCCAGAGCAUUGGCUCAGCAGCUGGCCAGCUCGGAGGUCAGAGGAGGGUGCUGAGGGGAGUGGAGGUCAGUUGGGGUAUCCCUGGGCCCUGGCUGCACAGUCCAGCUGCCGUGUGGCCUGCCUGUAUUACCUUUGGUCAUGAGAGGAUCUGGGCGAUUCAGGGCUAUCUGUACAUGUUGGUGGGGUGGGAAGGAAAAGGUAACUGCGUAUUUACUGUGUCCUGGAUAUGUUAUCACAUCUCAUUGGAUCAAAUUCCUGCUAAGUUUACCUCCGUGUACCGGAUGGGACUUGGAGGCUCAGAGAGGGUAAGUGACAGGCCCAAGGAUAUGUGGCUAGUAUGGGGGCGUGCCAGGAUUUGAUGUGUGACUAGUGAGGGGUGAGCCAGGAUUUGAUGUGUGACUAAUGAGGGAUGGGCCAGGAUUUGAUAUGUGACCAGUGAGGGAUGGGCCAGGAUUUGAUAUGUGACUAGUGAGGGAUGGGCCAGGAUUUGAUAUGUGACCAGUGAGGGGGGAGCCAGGAUUUGAUAUGUGACCAGUGAGGGGGGAGCCAGGAUUUGAUAUGUGACUAGUGAGGAGUGGCCAGGAUUUGAUAUGUGACUAGUGAGUGAGGGAUGGGCCAGGAUUUGAUAUGUGACCAGUGAGGGAUGGGCCAGGAUUUGAUAUGUGACUAGUGAGGGAUGGGCCAGGAUUUGAUAUGUGACUAGUGAGGAGUGGCCAGGAUUUGAUAUGUGACCAGUGAGGGGUGAGCCAGGAUUUGAUAUGUGACUAGUGAGGGAUGGGCCAGGAUUUGAUAUGUGACUAGUGAGGGAUGGGCCAGGAUUUGAUAUGUGAUUAGUGAGGGGUGAGCCAGGAUUUGAUAUGUGGCUAGUGAGGGAUGGGCCAGGAUUUGAUAUGUGACUAGUGAGGAGUGGCCAGGAUUUGAUAUGUGACUAGUGAGGGGUAAGCCAGGAUUUGAUAUGUGACCAGUGAGGGGUGGGCCAGGAUUCGAUAUGUGACUAGUGAGGGGUGGGCCAGGAUUUGAUAUGUGACUAGUGAGGGAUGGACCAGGAUUUGAUAUGUGACUAGUGAGGGAUGGACCAGGAUUUGAUAUGUGACUAGUGAGGGGUGACCAGGAUUUGAUA
Molecule: RNA transcript, 3545 nt
Organism: Cercocebus atys (sooty mangabey)
Lineage: Eukaryota; Metazoa; Chordata; Mammalia; Primates; Cercopithecidae
Exons: 4
Source: RefSeq, a predicted model, not a curated record